RNAcentral lists this ribosomal RNA (505 nucleotides) under uncultured bacterium. Its description in RNAcentral is "partial 16S ribosomal RNA". It matches the Rfam family "Bacterial small subunit ribosomal RNA", at positions 28 to 507 of the family's 1533-position model. The record is from RNAcentral.
GACGAACGCUGGCGGCGUGCCUAAUACAUGCAAGUAGAACGCACAGUUUAUACCGUAGCUUGCUACACCAUAGACUGUGAGUUGCGAACGGGUGAGUAACGCGUAGGUAACCUGCCUGGUAGCGGGGGAUAACUAUUGGAAACGAUAGCUAAUACCGCAUAAUAUUAAUUAUUGCAUGAUAAUUAAUUGAAAGGUGCAAUUGCACCACUACCAGAUGGACCUGCGUUGUAUUAGCUAGUAGGUGAGGUAACGGCUCACCUAGGCGACGAUACAUAGCCGACCUGAGAGGGUGAUCGGCCACACUGGGACUGAGACACGGCCCAGACUCCUACGGGAGGCAGCAGUAGGGAAUCUUCGGCAAUGGACGAAAGCCUGACCGAGCAACGCCGCGUGAGUGAAGAAGGUUUUCGGAUCGUAAAGCUCUGUUGUAAGAGAAGAACGGGUGUGAGAGUGGAAAGUUCACACUGUGACGGUAUCUUACCAGAAAGGGACGGCUAACUACGUG